UUUCCGUAGGUGAACCUGCGGAAGGAUCAUUAAUGAGUUGUCAUGGGGUUCGAUGCUGGCAGCCAGUUUUUGGAUGCAUGUGCUUGCCCUAACAAUCAUCUUCUUCCAAACACCUGUGCACAUUUUUGAGGGAGUCUUGAGUUGGUUGCCGCUCUUGGGUGAUUUUCUCACAUUCCCUUAAACCAUUAUACGCUAUUAACAAUGUUGAACGUGCUCUGUGCCGCAAGGCCAUUAAUAUAAUACAACUUUUAACAACGGAUCUCUUGGCUCUC
RNAcentral lists this unclassified non-coding RNA (272 nucleotides) under plant metagenome. Its description in RNAcentral is "partial contains small subunit ribosomal RNA, internal transcribed spacer 1, and 5.8S ribosomal RNA". The record is from RNAcentral.